UACAGAGAUCUCAAGCGUUGUCCGGAAUUAUUGGGCGUAAAGAGCUCGUAGGCGGUUUGUCGCGUCUGGUGUGAAACUCAAGGCUCAACCUUGAGCUUGCAUCGGGUACGGGCAGACUAGAGUGCGGUAGGGGUGACUGGAAUUCCUGGUGUAGCGGUGGAAUGCGCAGAUAUCAGGAGGAACACCGAUGGCGAAGGCAGGUCUCUGGGCCACUACUGACGCUGAGAAGCGAAAGCAUGGGGAGCGAACAGG
Molecule: ribosomal RNA, 252 nt
Filed under: uncultured bacterium
Lineage: Bacteria
Description: partial 16S ribosomal RNA
Rfam family: Bacterial small subunit ribosomal RNA
Source: RNAcentral